Suricata suricatta (meerkat) is the source of this 421-nucleotide long non-coding RNA. RefSeq lists it as uncharacterized. The transcript is spliced from 2 exons. The record is from RefSeq and is a predicted model, not a curated record. Lineage: Eukaryota; Metazoa; Chordata; Mammalia; Carnivora; Herpestidae.
CGUCAUCCUGGAGAAGUGAUGUGAUUGGUGUCCUUCUAAGAAGAGAAGAGACACAGUGAUGUGUCUAAAAGCCAAGGAACACCAAGAGUCGUCAGCAAACAAGAGGCAAACAGCCUCCUCCACAGAUGAGAAAAUGGAGGACAGGGAGGCCAAACAGCAUGUUCCAAGUUGCCUGAACUACUGAACAACAGACACAGACUUCAGACGCCUGUCUUCAGACCUCAGUGCUCUUUCCAUUGCUGAUCAGAGACAUUCAUCUGUUCAUCCUGCACUGUUUAUUGAGUACCGACAAUUUGCUAGACACUGUUCUAGGCUCUCGAGAUAGACUAAGGAACCAAACAAAGAUCUUUGCCUCCUUGUGCUUACACAGUAGCAGGGAGAGACAGAUAUUAAAUAAUAAACAUGAUGAAUAUGGAAACUA